CUUGUGCCAGCAGCCGCGGUAACCCCAGCGCCACAAGUGGGAACCAUGUUUAUUGGGUCUAAAGCAUCCGUAGCCGGUUCUGCAAAUACCCUGUGAAAUCGUCCCGCUCAACGGGGCGGCGUGCAGGGUAGACUACAGGACUAGGGACCAGGUGAGGUGGACGGUAUUCCGUGGGGAGCGGUAAAAUGUGAUAAUCCUCGGAGGACCACCAAUGGCGAAGGCAGUUCACCAAAAUGGAUCCGACGGUGAGGGAUGAAAGCUAGGGGAGCGAUCCGGAUUAGAUACCCGAGUAGUCCUAGCUGUAAACUCUGCGUGCCAGAUGUUGCGUAAUCUCCGAGAUUGCGCAGUGUCGUAACGAAGGUGUUAAGCACGCCACCUGGGAAGUACGGUCGCAAGGCUGAAACUUAAAGGAAUUGGCGGGGGGACACCACAACGGGUGCGGCGUGCGGUUUAAUCGUAUUCAACACCGAGAAUCUCACCAGGGGCGACGGCACAAUGACGCUCAGUCUGAAGGGCUUAGCUGAGGAGCCGAGAGGUGGUGCAUGGCCGCCGUCAGCUCGUGCCGUGAGGUGUCCUGUUAAGUCAGGCAACGAGCGAGACCUGUAUCCAUCGUUGCUAACGCGUUCGCAAGAAUGAGCGAGCACACUAUGGGGACUGCCUUGGAAACAAGGAGGAAGGUGCAGGCUACGGCAGGUCUGU
Molecule: ribosomal RNA, 699 nt
Filed under: uncultured euryarchaeote
Lineage: Archaea; Methanobacteriati; Methanobacteriota
Description: bacterial SSU rRNA
Rfam family: Archaeal small subunit ribosomal RNA
Source: RNAcentral